RNAcentral lists this ribosomal RNA (301 nucleotides) under uncultured bacterium. Its description in RNAcentral is "partial 16S ribosomal RNA". It matches the Rfam family "Bacterial small subunit ribosomal RNA", at positions 509 to 807 of the family's 1533-position model. The record is from RNAcentral.
CAGCAGCCGCGGUAAUACGAAGGGGGCUAGCGUUGUUCGGAACUACUGGGCGUAAAGCGCACGUAGGCGGACAUUUAAGUCAGGGGUGAAAUCCCGGGGCUCAACCUCGGAACUGCCUUUGAUACUGGGUGUCUCGAGUCCGGAAGAGGUAAGUGGAACUGCGAGUGUAGAGGUGAAAUUCGUAGAUAUUCGCAAGAACACCAGUGGCGAAGGCGGCUUACUGGUCCGGUACUGACGCUGAGGUGCGAAAGCGUGGGGAGCAAACUGGAUUAGAGACCCCCGUAGUCCCUGUCUCUUAUAC